UGGGGAAUCUUGGACAAUGGGCGCAAGCCUGAUCCAGCCAUGCCGCGUGGAUGAUGAAGGCCUUAGGGUUGUAAAAUCCUUUCGCCGAGGACGAUAAUGACGGUACUCGGAGAAGAAGCUCCGGCUAACUUCGUGCCAGCAGCCGCGGUAAUACGAAGGGGGCUAGCGUUGUUCGGAUUUACUGGGCGUGAAGCGCGUGUAGGCGGGUCGUUAAGUUGGGGGUGAAAUCCCGAGGCUCAACCUCGGAACUGCCUUCAAAACUGGCGACCUGGACCUAAGUAGAGGCAAGUGGAAUUGCGAGUGUAGAGGUGAAAUUCGUAGAUAUUCGCAGGAACACCAGUGGCGAAGGCGACUUGCUGGACUUAUGGUGACGCUGAGACGCGAAAGCGUGGGGAGCAAACAGGAUUAGAUACCCCCGUAGUCCCUGAGCGGGCUGGCAAGGCGCAU
RNAcentral lists this ribosomal RNA (447 nucleotides) under uncultured bacterium. RNAcentral describes it as "bacterial SSU rRNA". It matches the Rfam family "Bacterial small subunit ribosomal RNA", at positions 355 to 825 of the family's 1533-position model. The record is from RNAcentral.